AAGUAAAAAAAUCGUAACAAGGUCUCCGUUGGUGAACCAGCGGAGGGAUCAUUAAAGAGAGCCUAAAAAACUCCCGCAAAACCCCAUGUGAACAUACCAUACGUUGCCUCGGCAGGCCCUAGACGCGCCUGGCGCGCACCCCUCGGGGGGGCGCGGUUGGGACCUGCCGGCGGCCCAAGCAAACCCUGUCGUCACUGAAUUCUGAGCCCGCAUGUAGGAAAUUAAAGUCAAAACUUUCAACAACGGAUCUCUUGGUUCUGGCAUCGAUGAAGAACGCAGCGAAAUGCGAUAAGUAAUGUGAAUUGCAGAAUUCAGUGAAUCAUCGAAUCUUUGAACGCACAUUGCGCCCGCCAGUAUUCUGGCGGGCAUGCCUGUUCGAGCGUCAUUUCAACCCCUUAAGCCCCUGUUGCUUAGCGUUGGGAGCCUACGGCCCGCCGUAGCUCCUCAAAGUUAGUGGCGGAGCCGGCCCGCACCCCAGGCGUAGUAGUUCAGUCAGCUCGCCCGCGGUCGGACCAGUCCCCUGCCGUAAAACACCCC
RNAcentral lists this ribosomal RNA (537 nucleotides) under Nodulisporium sp. JK24. RNAcentral's name for it is "eukaryotic LSU rRNA". The stretch from base 232 to 385 matches the Rfam family "5.8S ribosomal RNA". Lineage: Eukaryota; Fungi; Ascomycota; Sordariomycetes; Xylariales; Xylariaceae. The record is from RNAcentral.